RNAcentral lists this ribosomal RNA (465 nucleotides) under uncultured Klebsiella sp. RNAcentral's name for it is "bacterial SSU rRNA". It matches the Rfam family "Bacterial small subunit ribosomal RNA", at positions 338 to 795 of the family's 1533-position model. Lineage: Bacteria; Pseudomonadati; Pseudomonadota; Gammaproteobacteria; Enterobacterales; Enterobacteriaceae. The record is from RNAcentral.
CCUACGGGGGGCUGCAGUGGGGAAUAUUGCACAAUGGGCGCAAGCCUGAUGCAGCCAUGCCGCGUGUGUGAAGAAGGCCUUCGGGUUGUAAAGCACUUUCAGCGGGGAGGAAGGCGGUGAGGUUAAUAACCUCAUCGAUUGACGUUACCCGCAGAAGAAGCACCGGCUAACUCCGUGCCAGCAGCCGCGGUAAUACGGAGGGUGCAAGCGUUAAUCGGAAUUACUGGGCGUAAAGCGCACGCAGGCGGUCUGUCAAGUCGGAUGUGAAAUCCCCGGGCUCAACCUGGGAACUGCAUUCGAAACUGGCAGGCUAGAGUCGUGUAGAGGGGGGUAGAAUUCCAGGUGUAGCGGUGAAAUGCGUAGAGAUCUGGAGGAAUACCGGUGGCGAAGGCGGCCCCCUGGACAAAGACUGACGCUCAGGUGCGAAAGCGUGGGGAGCAAACAGGAUUAGAUACCCCAGUAGUC